RNAcentral lists this ribosomal RNA (254 nucleotides) under uncultured bacterium. Its description in RNAcentral is "partial 16S ribosomal RNA". It matches the Rfam family "Bacterial small subunit ribosomal RNA", at positions 524 to 776 of the family's 1533-position model. The record is from RNAcentral.
GACGAACCGUGCGAACGUUAUUCGGAAUCACUGGGCUUAAAGCGCGUGUAGGCGGGACGGCACGUCGGUCGCUGAAAUCCCCCGGCUUAACCGGGGAACUGGCGUCGAUACGACCGCCCUGGAGGGGCGUAGGGGGACCUGGAACUUCCGGUGGAGCGGUGAAAUGCGUAGAUAUCUGGAGGAACACCGGUGGCGAAGGCGGCAUCCUGGACCGGCAUUGACGCUGAGGCGCGAAAGCCAGGGGAGCAAACGGG